Molecule: ribosomal RNA, 356 nt
Filed under: uncultured eukaryote
Lineage: Eukaryota
Description: partial 18S ribosomal RNA
Rfam family: Eukaryotic small subunit ribosomal RNA
Source: RNAcentral
AAGGCAGUCAGUCCCUGUGGAAGUGAACCGCGAAUGGCUCAUUAAAUCAGUUAUGGUUUAUUAGAUCGUGCGUUCUAUGUGGAUAACUGGGGUAAUUCUAGAGCUAAUACAUGCAACUGGCCCUGACUUUACGGAGGGGGGCUUUUAUUAAAUCAAAACCAAUCCCCCUUCGGGGGGAUGUUGUGAUGACUCUGGAUAAUUUUUUGCCAACCCCUUGGCCUUAUGCCGGCGGCGUAUCUUUCAAAUGUCUGCCCUAUCAACUUUCAAUGGUAGGUGACAUGCCUACCAUGGUUGCAACGGGUAACGGGAAAUGGGGCGGGGGCGGCGGGCCGGGCGCGGGGCGCGCCGGGCGACGC